GAUAAACGCUGGCGGCGUGCCUAACACAUGCAAGUCGAACGCCCUUUUGCGCGAAGUGAGAGGGAGUGGCGGACGGGUGAGUACCACGUGGGUACCUACCUUGAGGUGAGGAAUACCACCGAGAAAUACGGUGACAAGACCGCAUACGCUUGGCAACAAGCAAAGUCUCGCAAGAGACGCCACAAGAUGGGCCUGCGCCUGAUUAGCUAGUUGGUGAGGUAAUGGCNCACCAA
Molecule: ribosomal RNA, 233 nt
Filed under: uncultured bacterium
Lineage: Bacteria
Description: partial 16S ribosomal RNA
Rfam family: Bacterial small subunit ribosomal RNA
Source: RNAcentral